RNAcentral lists this ribosomal RNA (497 nucleotides) under uncultured bacterium. RNAcentral's name for it is "partial 16S ribosomal RNA". It matches the Rfam family "Bacterial small subunit ribosomal RNA", at positions 28 to 507 of the family's 1533-position model. The record is from RNAcentral.
GAUGAACGCUGGCGGCGUGCCUAAUACAUGCAAGUCGAGCGAACAGACGAGGAGCUUGCUCCUCUGACGUUAGCGGCGGACGGGUGAGUAACACGUGGAUAACCUACCUAUAAGACUGGGAUAACUUCGGGAAACCGGAGCUAAUACCGGAUAAUCUAUUGAACCGCAUGGUUCAAUAGUGAAAGACGGUUUUGCUGUCACUUAUAGAUGGAUCCGCGCCGCAUUAGCUAGUUGGUAAGGUAACGGCUUACCAAGGCAACGAUGCGUAGCCGACCUGAGAGGGUGAUCGGCCACACUGGAACUGAGACACGGUCCAGAGUCCUACGGGAGGCAGCAGUAGGGAAUCUUCCGCAAUGGGCGAAAGCCUGACGGAGCAACGCCGCGUGAGUGAUGAAGGUCUUCGGAUCGUAAAACUCUGUUAUUAGGGAAGAACAAAUGUGUAAGUAACUAUGCACGUCUUGACGGUACCUAAUCAGAAAGCCACGGCUAACUACGUG